This 478-nucleotide ribosomal RNA is filed under the name uncultured bacterium. Its description in RNAcentral is "partial 16S ribosomal RNA". It matches the Rfam family "Bacterial small subunit ribosomal RNA", at positions 28 to 523 of the family's 1533-position model. The record is from RNAcentral.
GACAAACGCUGGCGGCGUGCUUAACACAUGCAAGUCGAACGGUAAGGCCCUUCGGGGUACACGAGUGGCGAACGGGUGAGUAACACGUGGGUGAUCUGCCCUGCACUUCGGGAUAAGCCUGGGAAACUGGGUCUAAUACCGGAUAGGACCACUGCCUGCAUGGGUGGUGGUGGAUAGCUUUUCCGGUGUGGGAUGGGUCCGCGGCCUAUCAGCUUGGUGGUGGGGUGAUGGCCUACCAAGGCGACGACGGGUAGCCGGCCUGAGAGGGUGACCGGCCACACUGGGACUGAGAUACGGCCCAGACUCCUACGGGAGGCAGCAGUGGGGAAUAUUGCACAAUGGGCGCAAGCCUGAUGCAGCGACGCCGCGUGAGGGAUGACGGCCUUCGGGUUGUAAACCUCUUUCAGCACCGACGAAGCGCAAGUGACGGUAGGUGCAGAAGAAGGACCGGCCAACUACGUGCCAGCCGCCGCCGUAA